UUCGUUUCUCCUCAGAAUCCUCCAUACUAUCAGAACUGCGACAACUACUAACAGGUCCCAAUGACAAUAAAUUUUCAAUUCGUUCAAGGAGAUGCUUCUCAGUCAUAGAAACAUCGGCAGCACCAACUUCCUGAUAAGGUCCAAAUCUGUAUUCGAAUUCUCUGACUUCACUACAAGCCAAUCUAUUAGAACAUGUCACGUAAAAAGGGAGUACUCCUGGUUUGUGUGGGGGAGCAUGACAACGAAGCACCCCAUCUGCUAAAACCUCUGCAGGAACCUCUACUUCCCCAAACAUACAUGACCACUUGUACUCUACCAGCUCGCCUUCACUCUUAAGAAAUCUUCCAGUAAUUAAUACUUUCGUUUCCAAAUUUGAAUAAGCCCAAUUAGGUGAAAAAUCAAUAAUGCUGAAAACCUGCUCCUGGGAGAGUGAGAGAUUCAGUGAAUCUGAAUCCACAUGCAACUGGCUUGGCAGACAGGAACCUUCUUCCUCAGUAUCUAUAACAUUCCAUGACAUUUGAUUACUUGGCUGCAUAUGCAACUCCUCAACAUCCUCAAGCUCUUUUGCAACCCAUCGGGAGAAGCUGUCAACUUUUUUCAAGCCUUCUUCCACUUUUACACUGCUCAAAUGAGGCUGUUUGAUCGUCGAAUAGUCUCCAAGCUCUAGCAUAUCCAUAGAAUUUUCUUGAUUGAUGUCACCUUGAACUUCCACGAGUGACUUCAGAAAUUGAAGAUUCAGUUGUGCUAGUUGCUCUUCUUUCUCAUUAGAAUACAAGUAUGAUGGCCCCCUAACGGUAAGUAGAUCCGAAGGUAGUCCCAAAUCAUAGCUCGAAUCUGCAAUCAAAUCCUGAUUGACAUUUUGUCCAUGAAACUGCAAGGGAGAUUGUCCAAAAGAAUACUGCCAAUUUCCAUGGACUGACAAAUUGUUCUUGAAAUCAUCUUGGCAUACCAUCUCACCAUUUAAACAAUGCUGAGGAAGUGGUUCCCAAGAUCCCAAAUCAAUUGUUCUUUGAGGACCAGAUGCAAAAUUACCAAGAUCACACUUUCCCGAUCCAUCUAUACCAG
Molecule: unclassified non-coding RNA, 1065 nt
Filed under: Hevea brasiliensis (rubber tree)
Lineage: Eukaryota; Viridiplantae; Streptophyta; Magnoliopsida; Malpighiales; Euphorbiaceae
Source: RNAcentral